This 2904-nucleotide ribosomal RNA is filed under the name Klebsiella pneumoniae KCTC 2242. RNAcentral's name for it is "bacterial LSU rRNA". It matches the Rfam family "Bacterial large subunit ribosomal RNA". The record is from RNAcentral. Lineage: Bacteria; Pseudomonadati; Pseudomonadota; Gammaproteobacteria; Enterobacterales; Enterobacteriaceae.
GGUUAAGCGACUAAGCGUACACGGUGGAUGCCCUGGCAGUCAGAGGCGAUGAAGGACGUGCUAAUCUGCGAAAAGCGUCGGUAAGGUGAUAUGAACCGUUAUAACCGGCGAUGUCCGAAUGGGGAAACCCAGUGCAAUUCGUUGCACUAUCGUUAACUGAAUACAUAGGUUAACGAGGCGAACCGGGGGAACUGAAACAUCUAAGUACCCCGAGGAAAAGAAAUCAACCGAGAUUCCCCCAGUAGCGGCGAGCGAACGGGGAGCAGCCCAGAGUCUGAAUCAGCUUGUGUGUUAGUGGAACGGUCUGGAAAGUCCGACGGUACAGGGUGAUAGUCCCGUACACCAAAAUGCACAGGUUGUGAACUCGAAGAGUAGGGCGGGACACGUGGUAUCCUGUCUGAAUAUGGGGGGACCAUCCUCCAAGGCUAAAUACUCCUGACUGACCGAUAGUGAACCAGUACCGUGAGGGAAAGGCGAAAAGAACCCCGGCGAGGGGAGUGAAAAAGAACCUGAAACCGUGUACGUACAAGCAGUGGGAGCACCUUCGGGUGUGACUGCGUACCUUUUGUAUAAUGGGUCAGCGACUUAUAUUCUGUAGCAAGGUUAACCGUAUAGGGGAGCCGCAGGGAAACCGAGUCUUAACUGGGCGUUAAGUUGCAGGGUAUAGACCCGAAACCCGGUGAUCUAGCCAUGGGCAGGUUGAAGGUUGGGUAACACUAACUGGAGGACCGAACCGACUAAUGUUGAAAAAUUAGCGGAUGACUUGUGGCUGGGGGUGAAAGGCCAAUCAAACCGGGAGAUAGCUGGUUCUCCCCGAAAGCUAUUUAGGUAGCGCCUCGUGAACUCAUCUUCGGGGGUAGAGCACUGUUUCGGCUAGGGGGUCAUCCCGACUUACCAACCCGAUGCAAACUACGAAUACCGAAGAAUGUUAUCACGGGAGACACACGGCGGGUGCUAACGUCCGUCGUGAAGAGGGAAACAACCCAGACCGCCAGCUAAGGUCCCAAAGUCAUGGUUAAGUGGGAAACGAUGUGGGAAGGCACAGACAGCCAGGAUGUUGGCUUAGAAGCAGCCAUCAUUUAAAGAAAGCGUAAUAGCUCACUGGUCGAGUCGGCCUGCGCGGAAGAUGUAACGGGGCUAAACCAUGCACCGAAGCUGCGGCAGCGACACUAUGUGUUGUUGGGUAGGGGAGCGUUCUGUAAGCCUGCGAAGGUGUGCUGUGAGGCAUGCUGGAGGUAUCAGAAGUGCGAAUGCUGACAUAAGUAACGAUAAAGCGGGUGAAAAGCCCGCUCGCCGGAAGACCAAGGGUUCCUGUCCAACGUUAAUCGGGGCAGGGUGAGUCGACCCCUAAGGCGAGGCCGAAAGGCGUAGUCGAUGGGAAACAGGUUAAUAUUCCUGUACUUGGUGUUACUGCGAAGGGGGGACGGAGAAGGCUAUGUUAGCCGGGCGACGGUUGUCCCGGUUUAAGCAUGUAGGCUGGUUGUCCAGGCAAAUCCGGAUAAUCAAGGCUGAGGUGUGAUGACGAGGCACUACGGUGCUGAAGUAACAAAUGCCCUGCUUCCAGGAAAAGCCUCUAAGCAUCAGGUAACAUCAAAUCGUACCCCAAACCGACACAGGUGGUCAGGUAGAGAAUACCAAGGCGCUUGAGAGAACUCGGGUGAAGGAACUAGGCAAAAUGGUGCCGUAACUUCGGGAGAAGGCACGCUGGUGUGUAGGUGAAGCCCCUGCGGGUGGAGCUGAGACCAGUCGAAGAUACCAGCUGGCUGCAACUGUUUAUUAAAAACACAGCACUGUGCAAACACGAAAGUGGACGUAUACGGUGUGACGCCUGCCCGGUGCCGGAAGGUUAAUUGAUGGGGUUAUCCGUAAGGAGAAGCUCUUGAUCGAAGCCCCGGUAAACGGCGGCCGUAACUAUAACGGUCCUAAGGUAGCGAAAUUCCUUGUCGGGUAAGUUCCGACCUGCACGAAUGGCGUAAUGAUGGCCAGGCUGUCUCCACCCGAGACUCAGUGAAAUUGAACUCGCUGUGAAGAUGCAGUGUACCCGCGGCAAGACGGAAAGACCCCGUGAACCUUUACUAUAGCUUGACACUGAACAUUGAGCCUUGAUGUGUAGGAUAGGUGGGAGGCUUUGAAGCGUGGACGCCAGUCUGCGUGGAGCCAACCUUGAAAUACCACCCUUUAAUGUUUGAUGUUCUAACGUUGGCCCCUGACCGGGGUUGCGGACAGUGUCUGGUGGGUAGUUUGACUGGGGCGGUCUCCUCCCAAAGCGUAACGGAGGAGCACGAAGGUUAGCUAAUCCUGGUCGGACAUCAGGAGGUUAGUGCAAUGGCAUAAGCUAGCUUGACUGCGAGCGUGACGGCGCGAGCAGGUGCGAAAGCAGGUCAUAGUGAUCCGGUGGUUCUGAAUGGAAGGGCCAUCGCUCAACGGAUAAAAGGUACUCCGGGGAUAACAGGCUGAUACCGCCCAAGAGUUCAUAUCGACGGCGGUGUUUGGCACCUCGAUGUCGGCUCAUCACAUCCUGGGGCUGAAGUAGGUCCCAAGGGUAUGGCUGUUCGCCAUUUAAAGUGGUACGCGAGCUGGGUUUAGAACGUCGUGAGACAGUUCGGUCCCUAUCUGCCGUGGGCGCUGGAGAAUUGAGGGGGGCUGCUCCUAGUACGAGAGGACCGGAGUGGACGCAUCACUGGUGUUCGGGUUGUCAUGCCAAUGGCACUGCCCGGUAGCUAAAUGCGGAAGAGAUAAGUGCUGAAAGCAUCUAAGCACGAAACUUGCCCCGAGAUGAGUUCUCCCUGAGACUUUAAGUCUCCUGAAGGAACGUUAAAGACGAUGACGUUGAUAGGCCGGGUGUGUAAGCGCAGCGAUGCGUUGAGCUAACCGGUACUAAUGAACCGUGAGGCUUAACCUUAC